AGAGUCAGUUUCAUUUUCUGGUUAAGUCUCAUUUGACAUUGUUCCUUUUGUUAUGAGAGAAAACAUUUCCAUUCUGAAAAAUUAAUCAAUAUAAAAAUAACUGAAUAACAGAAAUAUGGAAAGGAUCAAUGGAGAUAAGGUUUGAAUUUUUUCUAAAAGAGUUACCUGCUCUUUGUAUUCUGCAGAAUGGAUGCACUUGAGCCGACCUAAGCAUUCAUGGUCAUGAGAUUUGUGGUUGCCACUGUUGGUUAGGAGCAUAGAGAUCAGUAAUGGACACACCUGGGCUGGCAGAACAUCUUGCCUUGAUCUGGAGCCCCAUGUCUGCCCCUCUGUAGAGGUGCACAUGGGCCAAUGAUGGAUGCAAUGAGCUGAUCAUUUUGCUGUGAUCAAGGCUAUGUUGCCUCUGUGUUAGGCCAAUGUGAGUAAUGGUUCUUGUCUUGGUUUAGGUUGUUUAAUGGUAUUCCUGAUAUUAUUAAAAAUUAUUUAAUAUAAUAAAAAGUUAAUUGGCUUAAUGACAAUGUGCAACAUUGAGGUUAAUUAAUGAAAGAGAUGUAGUCUCUGUGGGAAAUUAUUGUAUAGACAAAUGUAAGGAUUCUUCAAAUAUCUUGUUCUUGGGUUUUCAAAAUCAUGUAUUCAUUUUAUUAUCAAAGAAGAAAUGAUUUAUUCAAUAAAUAUUUAGAAAUGAAUGAUGAAAGAGAGACCCAACUAUGAAUCAAUGGUGACCACUGGUGGCAUAUAAGUCAUGGAUGAUGAAUAUGAGAAGAAAAGAAUCUAGGUUUUUGCUUCUGUUGGAAAUGAUCCUGUAGACAAUGUCAGAAACAUACAAAGAUCAUUUUCUUAUCUUGGGGUCAUAGAUUUAGGUUUAUUAUUACUAAUAUAUGAAUGAUAGAACCAUUAAACAAAUAUAAACAGAUUACAAGUAGAGAUUUAAGCUACAGUGUCCAGCUAUGAAUAUAGGAGAUGAGAUAAAUUAUUACUAAAAAUAGGAGAUACUGAUUCCUCUUAUCAAAGAAAUGGAUCACAGUGUUUCCUCUUUGACUAAGGAUUAUAUAGAAUCUAACAAGUAAGAGUCAGUUUUAUUUUCUUGGUCAGAGAUUGUUUCUUCUGUUAAGAGAGAAAGACACCUAUAAUAUGAAAAAUUAGUAAAUACCCAAAUCACUGAAUAAAUGCUAUGCAGAAAGGCAGGAUCAACAGAGAUUAGGUCUCAAUGUUUUUAGUCUGCUCUGUACUCCUCAGAAUGGACAGACCCGGGCUGAUUUUGGUGUUCUGUGGCUAUGAGAUCAGUGGUUGCCUCCAUGUGUUAGGAACAUGGAGACUGACGUAAUAGUCAAACUUCUUGUCUCAGUUUCAGUGUUCUUCUGAAGGGUAUGCAGUAAGUGCAAAAUGUAAUCAGUGACUGCCAACCAUUACCCAAAUGUAAAAAA
Long non-coding RNA from Homo sapiens (human), 1424 nucleotides. Ensembl annotates it as maternally expressed 8, small nucleolar RNA host gene. Its record names the gene MEG8. Lineage: Eukaryota; Metazoa; Chordata; Mammalia; Primates; Hominidae. The record is from Ensembl.